RNAcentral lists this ribosomal RNA (445 nucleotides) under uncultured bacterium. Its description in RNAcentral is "bacterial SSU rRNA". It matches the Rfam family "Bacterial small subunit ribosomal RNA", at positions 354 to 796 of the family's 1533-position model. The record is from RNAcentral.
GUGAGGAAUAUUGGUCAAUGGGCGGAAGCCUGAACCAGCCAUCCCGCGUGAAGGAAGAAGGCCUUAUGGGUUGUAAACUUCUUUUCUGUUUGAAGAAUAAGCUUGUCGAGACAAGUGAUGCCGGUAGGACAGGAAUAAGCAUCGGCUAACUCCGUGCCAGCAGCCGCGGUAAUACGGAGGAUGCAAGCGUUAUCCGGAUUUAUUGGGUUUAAAGGGUGCGCAGGUGGUUUAAUAAGUCAGUGGUGAAAGUCUGCCGCUUAACGGUAGGAUUGCCAUUGAUACUGUUGGACUUGAAUAUGGAUGAGGUAGGCGGAAUGUGUAGUGUAGCGGUGAAAUGCUUAGAUAUUACACAGAACACCGAUUGCGAAGGCAGCUUACUAAUCCAUGAUUGACGCUGAGGCACGAAAGCGUGGGGAUCAAACAGGAUUAGAAACCCCAGUAGUCC